This 391-nucleotide ribosomal RNA is filed under the name uncultured bacterium. Its description in RNAcentral is "bacterial SSU rRNA". It matches the Rfam family "Bacterial small subunit ribosomal RNA", at positions 28 to 410 of the family's 1533-position model. The record is from RNAcentral.
GAUGAACGCUAGCGAUAGGCCUAACACAUGCAAGUCGAGGGGCAUCACAUGAAGUAGCAAUACGGAUGGUGGCGACCGGCGCACGGGUGAGUAACACGUAUGCAACCUGCCUUCAACAAGGGGAUAACCCGUUGAAAGACGGACUAAUACCCUAUAACACAGGGGUCCCGCAUGGGAAUAUUUGUUAAAGGACAACCGGUUGAAGAUGGGCAUGCGUUCCAUUAGCUAGUUGGCGGGGUAACGGCCCACCAAGGCAACGAUGGAUAGGGGAACUGAGAGGUUUAUCCCCCACACUGGUACUGAGACACGGACCAGACUCCUACGGGAGGCAGCAGUGAGGAAUAUUGGUCAAUGGACGCAAGUCUGAACCAGCCACGUCGCGUGAAGGAAG